GAAAAGAUGAUGACAGGGAAUAAUAAGUCCGGAGUAUUUGUGCAGAGAGCCGCAGGCUGGUGAAAAGCGGUCAAGACGAAAGACUGAACUCCCCCUUGAGUUGCCGGCUGAAACCAUUUAGGCAGUAGGACCGGACGGAGUCUUCCGCCGUUAAAAGGAAGGGGAUAUCGGAAGAUGGUUUCACUGUUUUCCCGCAUCCUGUAGAGUGAACGGCAUGUGCCGUUAACAUGAGUGGUACCGCGAAUUGGCCUUCGUCUCAUUA
RNAcentral lists this non-coding RNA (262 nucleotides) under Dehalobacter sp. Its description in RNAcentral is "T-box sequence". It matches the Rfam family "T-box leader". Rfam says of the family: Uncharged tRNA acts as the effector for transcription antitermination of genes in the T-box leader family. T-boxes are found upstream of many aminoacyl-tRNA synthetase genes and some amino acid biosynthetic genes usually in Gram-positive bacteria. Lineage: Bacteria; Bacillati; Bacillota; Clostridia; Eubacteriales; Desulfitobacteriaceae. The record is from RNAcentral.